This 487-nucleotide ribosomal RNA is filed under the name uncultured bacterium. Its description in RNAcentral is "partial 16S ribosomal RNA". It matches the Rfam family "Bacterial small subunit ribosomal RNA", at positions 28 to 523 of the family's 1533-position model. The record is from RNAcentral.
GACGAACGCUGGCGGCGUGCUUAACACAUGCAAGUCGAGCGAGGCCCACCUUUCGGGGUGGUGUCCUAGCGGCGAACGGGUGAGUAACACGUGGGCAACCUGCCCCCGGCUCGGGGAUAACCCCAAGAAAUUGGGGCUAAUACCGGAUACGACCGCUGACCGCAUGGUCUGGUGGUGGAAAGAUUUAUCGGCUGGGGAUGGGCCCGCGGCCUAUCAGCUUGUUGGUGGGGUAGUGGCCUACCAAGGCGACGACGGGUAGCCGGCCUGGGAGGGGGACCGGCCACACUGGGACGGAGACACGGCCCAGACUCCUACGGGAGGCAGCAGUGGGGAAUAUUGCGCAAUGGGCGAAAGCCUGACGCAGCGACGCCGCGUGGGGGAUGACGGCCUUCGGGUUGUAAACCUCUUUCAGCAGGGACGAAGCCCGCAAGGGUGACGGUACCUGCAGAAGAAGCACCGGCCAACUACGUGCCAGCAGCCGCGGUAA